RNAcentral lists this long non-coding RNA (3251 nucleotides) under Homo sapiens (human). RNAcentral describes it as "HSALNT0217697". Lineage: Eukaryota; Metazoa; Chordata; Mammalia; Primates; Hominidae. The record is from RNAcentral.
CUGUUCUCGUGAUCGUGAGUGAGUUCUCAUGAGAUCUGAUGGAAUUAUAAGCAUCUGGCAUUUCCUGCUUGCACUUCUCUCUCCUGCCACCAUGUGAAGAAGGUCUUUGCUUCCCCUUUGUCUUCUGCCAUGAUUGUAAGUUUCCUGAGGCCUCCCCAGCCAUAUGGAACUGUGAGUCCAUUAAACCUCUUUCCUUUAUGAUUUAUAAAUUACCCAGGCUUGGAUAGUAUUUUUAUAGCAGUGUGAAAACGGACUAAUACACAGAGCCCAUCAUCCCAGUCUGAGGCAGUGCGGAUCUCAGCUGCAUCUCAGAGGAACUUCUAUUUCUAUCAGUGUCUUUGAAUCAGAGAACACCAGGAGCACCCUUGUGAUUGAACAAGGCAAAAAAACUUUUUAUGGUUCACUGAGGACAAUCAACUCCUUCACAAUCUAGAACCCGAAGAUUGGAUCCUCUGAGACAUCAGAGAAAGAUUGCUUUAGCCAUCCUCACUGCAGUAAAACUUCAGGACCUCGAGCCUUGGGUUCAUAAUCUCACAACUGAGAAGGGUCCCUCCACACUGUUGAACUGUACACCCAUUGGAACCCUUAAGGUAAAGCUAACCAGGGAAGUUUCUCCCUAAGAAGAAGAUGGCAUCCUUGAUGCAAAAAGCUUUUCCCAACAUCACAGAUCAAGACUUCUAUUAUCAUGAGACUCUUAUCUUUGAAUACUUUUCCCCUUGCUUAUGCCUGUAUGAACAAUACAAGUGGAAAAGGGGUCUGUUGUGUGCACUCAUGGGGUAUACUUUUAGUUAUGAAGGAUUUUGCAGCCAGCCUUAUACAUGGAUAACCUUAUAUCUUGACAGAUGAAAGAUGAAGGCCCGAUGUAGGUGAGAAACAGAAACUUUAAUGGUACACACUUUGCCUCGUAAUCAGUCAGAAACAGAGCAUUGGUUCACUCCUCUUAACCCACAUCAUGGGUUAAAGAGAACAUUACCAGGAGAGCUUCACUCUUCUAGAAGGGCAUCAUUUGUUAGGUCCUUUUUUCCAUGGUUUCGAGUAAAAAAGGCAAUGAUGAGAAAUGUUUCCCUCAUGAUAGGCUCUAUAGCAGAUUCUACUGUAAAAGCCAUGGUUACACAGCAGACUUUAAAUUAUCUUGUGAAAAUUAUGCUAAAUAAUAGAACUGGCUAAACAGAAAACUAUCUGUGUCACUGUUGACACUUGUGGCCUAUAGAGAAAUAUAUCAAAAGUAGAUUACAGAGAUUCAGUUGUAAAGGAUUAGCAAAGAGACCACUUAAUUAAGCAAGUCGACUCUUUAGCUCAUUCUUUGAUCUAUUUAAUUUUAGGUGAUUUGGUUUAUGGGGGUCUUGGGUAGGGAGGAUACUCCAAACUCUUGCUAUUAUCCCCCUGAUAGUUAUAAUAGUAGUCUCCCUGGUAUGCUGUAUUCUCUCAAAAGUUUUAAAUGUUUGCAUGCAGCCAUCUCUAAAAUGUCAAAUGGUCUUUCUUCAACUGGAAUGACAAGAACUGAAAGAAAUGUGUGACCAUGACGACAUCGUAACCUAUGAAUGACCACAUUGAGACCAGAAACCCAAACUGAUGGUACUGAAAGUGGCACUAAAGCCCUUAGUUUUGGUCACACUUUCACCUAAGUGAGAACCUGACCCAAAAGGAGGAAUUUUUAAACAAAAUUAUGAGAGGCCAUUGUUUUGGACUGAGCUCAUGCACUAGGCCCCAAAAGGACCAGACCAAACCAAAAUGGAGUCACUCACGUUAAAUGUGAUGUAAUCAAACUAAGACUUUAAGGAAACACACAGAUCCUAGAACAGAUCAGGUUUUGUUUUUCUCCUGUAAACAGGACGUUCCAGCAUAAGGAGGUACCUUCUACUCAGUCCUUGCUCCUACCUUGCAAAACCCACUGUUCUACCAUUUCCCAGUGGGUUUAAAGACCAAAUAAGUAUAUUUACAAUGGUUACAGUGACAUCAAUGACUAAAGUUUUGAUCUCUCUAAUUUGGGGUGAAAUUGUUAAAUCAAGUUUAGCCUAAAGCUGCCUCCUUACAUAUUUUAAGUUCAGCCUAAAGGUUUCUCUGCACAUGGUGAACUACAACAAGUGGAAGUGUAAACAGACCGCAGCCUACACUUGUGCCAAUCACUGAGUUUUGGCCAAUCAAAUGUAGCCAACUGUUCAAACUGUUCAAAUAAGGCAAACACCAAGCUGUACCCAAUCCAGCUCUUUCUGUACCUCACUUCCAUUUUCUGUGUGUCACUUUCCUUUUUCUGUCCAUCAGUCUUCUUCCACCCCAUGGCUGUGCUGGAGUCUCAGAGUCUACUCUGGCUCAGGAGGCUGCCUGAUUCAUGAAUCAUUCAUUGCUUAAACCCCUUUACAUUUAAUUCAGCUGAAGUUUUUUUUAAUCAGUGGUAUGAUGAGAAUAAUCCUCUUGGGAUGGGGAUGGAGGCACCAUGGCACAGAAGUCAAUUCCGGGAGGAUUUCUUUUUUGAACUAUUCAUUUAUUUAGGAGUGCUUCUAUAAUGAAGUUACAUUCAAGCUGAGUCUUGCUGACAGGUACACAUUUCUUAGGUAGAGAAAAAUGGACAAAUAACAUGCAUAAAAUAGGGGAAAGAAAGGAUUUUAGGAAGAAACAAAUCAGACAAAAGAAAAAUGUUUUCAAGCAGUUGGGUGUGUUAGGAGAAGCUUCAAGGAUCUGAAGCAGAGAAGUGAGGCUGUGGGUUGGGGCAUGAGUCAGAUGCUAAUAACCUUCCCGAAUUGCUAAGGAAUUUGAACGUGAUCUGAUAUGAUUAAUGCCAUUAAAGGGUUUUAAACUGUGGACUUGCCUAAUCGUAUUAGACAGAGGACAAACCUGGGGCAUGAGAGACCAGCGAGGAAGCCUAUCCAACAGUUCUGGAGGGACCCAGUGAAGACCCACACUCACUGAUAAUAGGACCUAAGGGAGAACAUUGACAGGAAUGUUUAACUCUUUCCUUUCAGCCGGAGGUGAAGUCUCACAAAGUUAAUGAGGCUUAAGCUUCCGGGAACCUCAGUUGUUCCGGCCUUUUCUAAGCCCUGGGAGUAGCUCCCGGAAUAUCUUCUUAGAGUCAUAUGUUUUUGUAAAAAUAUGCAAAAUAAAAUGUUUUAAUUGCCAUCAGUUAAAUGUCUCUUUCCCCUGAAAUAUUCUUUCACUUUAAAAAUCAAAGUAUCUGUAAUUUUGGAAGCAAGUACAAUUUUUUGUUGUUAUUGCUGUUCUUAUUGAUGUUGGAGAACCUCAGAUUUUAAUUAAAC